RNAcentral lists this ribosomal RNA (427 nucleotides) under uncultured bacterium. RNAcentral's name for it is "bacterial SSU rRNA". It matches the Rfam family "Bacterial small subunit ribosomal RNA", at positions 355 to 774 of the family's 1533-position model. The record is from RNAcentral.
UAGGGAAUAUUGGACAAUGGGGGCAACCCUGAUCCAGCCAUGCCGCGUGAGUGAAGAAGGCCCUCGGGUUGUAAAGCUCUUUUGUCCGGAAAGAAAAGCUUCGGGUUAAUACCCCGGGGUUCUGACGGUACCGGAAGAAUAAGCACCGGCUAACUUCGUGCCAGCAGCCGCGGUAAUACGAAGGGUGCAAGCGUUACUCGGAAUUACUGGGCGUAAAGCGUGCGUAGGUGGUUGUUUAAGUCUGAUGUGAAAGCCCUGGGCUCAACCUGGGAAUGGCAUUGGAAACUGGGCAGCUAGAGUGCGGUAGAGGGUAGUGGAACUCCCGGUGUAGCAGUGAAAUGCGUAGAGAUCGGGAGGAACAUCUGUGGCGAAGGCGACUGCCUGGACCAGCACUGACACUGAGGCACGAAAGCGUGGGGAGCAAACA